Molecule: ribosomal RNA, 374 nt
Filed under: uncultured organism
Description: partial 16S ribosomal RNA
Rfam family: Bacterial small subunit ribosomal RNA
Source: RNAcentral
GUAGGUGGCAAGCGUUGUCCGGAAUUAUUGGGCGUAAAGCGCGCGCAGGUGGGUUCUUUAAGUCUGAUGUGAAAGCCCCCGGGCUCAACCGGGGAGGGUCAUUGGAAACUGGGGAACUUGAGUGCAGGAGAGGAAAGUGGAAUUCCACGUGUAGCGGUGAAAUGCGUAGAUAUGUGGAGGAACACCAGUGGCGAAGGCGACUUUCUGGCCCGUAACUGACACUGAGGCGCGAAAGCGUGGGGAGCAAACAGGAUUAGAUACCCUGGUAGUCCACGCCGUAAACGAUGAGUGCUAAGUGUUGGGGGGUUUCCGCCCCUCAGUGCUGCAGCUAACGCAUUAAGCACUCCGCCUGGGGAGUACGGUCGCAAAGACUG